Molecule: ribosomal RNA, 469 nt
Filed under: uncultured bacterium
Lineage: Bacteria
Description: partial 16S ribosomal RNA
Rfam family: Bacterial small subunit ribosomal RNA
Source: RNAcentral
GACGAACGCUGGCGGCGUGCUUAACACAUGCAAGUCGAACGGAAAGGCCCUGCUUGCAGGGUGCACGAGUGGCGAACGGGUGAGUAACACGUGGGUGAUCUGCCCCUUACUUUGGGAUAAGCCUGGGAAACUGGGUCUAAUACUGGAUAGGACCAUGCUGUAGGUGGUGUGGUGGAAAGAUUAGUUUCGGUAAGGGAUGAGCUCGCGGCCUAUCAGCUUGUUGGUGGGGUAAUGGCCUACCAAGGCGUCGACGGGUAGCCGGCCUGAGAGGGUGGACGGCCACAUUGGGACUGAGAUACGGCCCAGACUCCUACGGGAGGCAGCAGUGGGGAAUAUUGCACAAUGGGCGCAAGCCUGAUGCAGCGACGCCGCGUGGGGGAUGACGGCCUUCGGGUUGUAAACUCCUUUCAGCCAUGACGAAGCCCUUGUGGUGACGGUAGUGGUAGAAGAAGCACCGGCUAACUACGUG